Molecule: long non-coding RNA, 2219 nt
Filed under: Sus scrofa (pig)
Lineage: Eukaryota; Metazoa; Chordata; Mammalia; Artiodactyla; Suidae
Description: lncRNA (ENSSSCG00065028911.1)
Source: RNAcentral
UGUGGUGCAGCAGUUAACAAAUCCGACUAGGGACCAUGAGGUUUCGGGUUUGAUCCCUGGCCUUGCUCAGUGGGUUAAGGAUCCGGCGUUGCUGUGAGCUGUGGUGUCACAGACAUGGCUCGCAUCCCACCUUGCUGUGGCUGUAGCAUAGGCCGGUGGCUACAGCUCUGAUUAGAUCCCUCGCCUGGGAACUUCCAUAUGCCGCAGGAGCGACCCUAGAAAAGGCAAAAAGACAAAAAGACAAAAAAAAAAAAAGCCUUUCAUACUAAUGUUUAACUUUAACAUAAGAUUCCAUACCCCUUUCUUCAAUAUUUUUAGAUUAGGAGAAUAAAUUUUAACAAUAACUACUUUGGUUAUCAGUCUCUCCCAUUACCACAUACGCAACCUCUUUAGUGCCUUGACCAGCUGUAAAAGGAAGAUCUCUGAUAGUGUAUUUAAUGAGAUGGUAGACUAGAAGAGGAUUUUUCUUAGCAAAACUUUGACCUGAGGGUCUAAUGUAUAAUGGUAGUCUUUUGUGUUUAUUCAUUUUUCACAAAAUUAAUUCUCUCUCUAGAGGUUCUUGUGAUAUCUUUAAUUCUGUUCAAAAUCUCAUCAGGAAAUUAUUAGGAGUCUCAUUUUGAAAAUGUAUUCAGACUAAACCCUUGGGAACUUCCAGCUGAUUCUUCUGAGAAUUAUUUGAAACCUUAUUUUUAUUUAAAAAUUUAAUUAAAACAUUUUGUUGGAGCGUUCACAUUGUGGAGCAGUGGAAACAAAUCAGACUAGUAUCCAUGAGGCUAUGGGUUUGAUCCCUGGCCUCGCUCAGUGGGUCGGGAUACAGCAUUGCUGUGAGCUGUGGUGUGAGUCACAGAGGCGGCUCGAUUCGACCCCUAACCUGGGAACUUCCACAUGGCGCGGGUGAGGCCCUAAAAAGACAAAAAAAGUGUUUGCAUUUUAGGGCCUCACCCGGGGCAUAUGGAAGUUCCCAGGCUAGGGGUGGAAUCAGAGCUGUAGCUGUCAGCCUACACCACAGCCACAGCAAUGCAGGAUCUGAGACGUGUCUGCGACCUACACCACAGCUUGUGACAAUACCAGAUCCUUAACCCACUGGGCAAGGCCAGGGAUUAAACCCGAAUCCUCAUGGAUACUAGUUGGGUUCUUAACCCACUGAGCUACAACAGGCUCUCCUAAUUGAAAUUUUUUAUUCAUAAUAAUAAAUCAUGCAUUUACUUUUAUUUAUUAUUUUUUAAGUUUAUGUACAAUGUUAUAUUCUUACUUCUGUAUACAUUACAGCAUGGUCACCUCCAAAAAUUUAACCAAAAAAAAAAAAAUUUGUUGCUUCUUACUUACCCUCACCUAUUUCUCUCCUUCCCCCAACUAUGCCCCGCCCCAAAAGGUUUUGUUUUAAGUACAGUCUUUUGCUGCUUUCAAUCUUCUGAUGUAACCAUCAGUUUCUCAAAGAUCAUAGGAAGAGAUCGGUCAUCUCAUCUGUAUAUUCUUUGGGGUUUUAGAGUCCAGCCAGGUAACGAGAAAUUGCUCCUAGUGUUUUAAACUGGGAAUUUAAUAAAAAGAAUUAGUUACAAAGAAGUCAAAAGGAAUGGUAGGGCAAAAGGGAGAAAUAGGGGUUUGUGAAAGGAAGAAGAGAUGAUACCCAGAGAUCAGAAAGUAAUAUUCUUGGAGUGUAGUUCACAAGCUUAUAUCUACUAUUGCGCUGUUAGAGACUUCACAAUCAAGUCUCAAUCUGCCAAAGCAGUAUCAUCUUAAGCAGGGCUAGAAACUACUGUUGCUGCCACUAUGGCUUCUGUCAACAACUGCAACCCAUCAGAGCCAAAAGCAGGAAGCAUCUCUCUUCCUCCAUUUUCUGGUCUCCUGUCACUGCCUCUUAUUGGCAGACCCCAAGAGUAAGCUAAGUUGGCAAGAGAGCCUGGGAAAUGCACAGAGUAAAGUAUAGAAUGGUAGGAGUAAAGUUGAGAGGCAAUGAGUAAAUUACUGGCACAAGUCCCUAGAAUUUAAUUUUUGCAGAUCAUUGAGAUGUUGUCUUAAGUGUCACUUAAGUCAUCUUUGUAGAUAGUAUUCAUACCAGUAAUUGUCCUACCCUUUCCAGACCAAUGAAUAAUCAUUUUCUAACACAGAGAAAAUAGAGGAAAAAUAGAUACUGGGUAAUUCUGCUUUUUCUAUUCCAUUCUUUAAAGUUUGAGUGUCUGAAAGCUUUGAAUAAAAACUCAACCUAAUACUAUAGUGGU